Molecule: ribosomal RNA, 1150 nt
Filed under: Vibrio owensii
Lineage: Bacteria; Pseudomonadati; Pseudomonadota; Gammaproteobacteria; Vibrionales; Vibrionaceae
Description: bacterial SSU rRNA
Rfam family: Bacterial small subunit ribosomal RNA
Source: RNAcentral
GGNGGCCUANCAUGCAGUCGAGCGGAACGAGUUAUCUGAACCUUCGGGGNACGAUAACGGCGUCGAGCGGCGGACGGGUGAGUAAUGCCUAGGAAAUUGCCCUGAUGUGGGGGAUAACCAUUGGAAACGAUGGCUAAUACCGCAUAAUGCCUACGGGCCAAAGAGGGGGACCUUCGGGCCUCUCGCGUCAGGAUAUGCCUAGGUGGGAUUAGCUAGUUGGUGAGGUAAUGGCUCACCAAGGCGACGAUCCCUAGCUGGUCUGAGAGGAUGAUCAGCCACACUGGAACUGAGACACGGUCCAGACUCCUACGGGAGGCAGCAGUGGGGAAUAUUGCACAAUGGGCGCAAGCCUGAUGCAGCCAUGCCGCGUGUGUGAAGAAGGCCUUCGGGUUGUAAAGCACUUUCAGUCGUGAGGAAGGUNGUGUAGUUAAUAGCUGCAUUANUUGACGUUAGCGACAGAAGAAGCACCGGCUAACUCCGUGCCAGCAGCCGCGGUAAUACGGAGGGUGCGAGCGUUAAUCGGAAUUACUGGGCGUAAAGCGCAUGCAGGUGGUUUGUUAAGUCAGAUGUGAAAGCCCGGGGCUCAACCUCGGAAUAGCAUUUGAAACUGGCAGACUAGAGUACUGUAGAGGGGGGUAGAAUUUCAGGUGUAGCGGUGAAAUGCGUAGAGAUCUGAAGGAAUACCGGUGGCGAAGGCGGCCCCCUGGACAGAUACUGACACUCAGAUGCGAAAGCGUGGGGAGCAAACAGGAUUAGAUACCCUGGUAGUCCACGCCGUAAACGAUGUCUACUUGGAGGUUGUGGCCUUGAGCCGUGGCUUUCGGAGCUAACGCGUUAAGUAGACCGCCUGGGGAGUACGGUCGCAAGAUUAAAACUCAAAUGAAUUGACGGGGGCCCGCACAAGCGGUGGAGCAUGUGGUUUAAUUNGAUGCAANGCGAAGAACCUUACCUACUCUUGACAUCCAGAGAACUUUCCAGAGAUGGAUUGGUGCCUUCGGGAACUCUGAGACAGGUGCUGCAUGGCUGUCGUCAGCUCGUGUUGUGAAAUGUUGGGUUAAGUCCCGCAACGAGCGCAACCCUUAUCCUUGUUUGCCAGCGAGUAAUGUCGGGAACUCCAGGGAGACUGCCGGUGAUAAACCGGAGGAAGGUG